GUUGCACCAGAAGUAGAUAGCUUAACCUUCGGGAGGGCGUUUACCACGGUGUGAUUCAUGACUGGGGUGAAGUCGUAACAAGGUAACCCUAGGGGAACCUGGGGUUGGAUCACCUCCUUACCUUAA
This 126-nucleotide ribosomal RNA is filed under the name Aeromonas salmonicida. RNAcentral's name for it is "partial 16S ribosomal RNA". It matches the Rfam family "Bacterial small subunit ribosomal RNA", at positions 1414 to 1533 of the family's 1533-position model. Lineage: Bacteria; Pseudomonadati; Pseudomonadota; Gammaproteobacteria; Aeromonadales; Aeromonadaceae. The record is from RNAcentral.